This 588-nucleotide ribosomal RNA is filed under the name Adota maritima. RNAcentral's name for it is "partial 16S ribosomal RNA". It matches the Rfam family "Bacterial large subunit ribosomal RNA", at positions 1926 to 2738 of the family's 2925-position model. Lineage: Eukaryota; Metazoa; Arthropoda; Insecta; Coleoptera; Staphylinidae. The record is from RNAcentral.
AAUGGCCGCAGUAUUUUGACUGUGCAAAGGUAGCAUAAUCAUUAGUUUCUUAAUUAGAAACUGGAAUGAAGGGUUGAACGAAAAAAUAACUGUCUCUUUUUAAAUUAUUUAGAAUUUUAUUUUUAAGUUAAAAAGCUUAAAUUUUUUUAAAAGACGAGAAGACCCUAUAGAGUUUUAUAUUACUUUAAUUUAGUGAUUUAUAUUUAAUUUUUAAAAUUUUAAAUUUUAUAAUAUUUAGUUGGGGUGAUUAAAAAAUUUAAUAAACUUUUUUUUUAUUUAUACAUUAAUUUAUGAUUUAUUGAUCCAUUAGUUUAUGAUUAAAAGAUUAAAUUACCUUAGGGAUAACAGCGUAAUUUCUUUGUAGAGUUCUAAUCGAUAAAGAAGUUUGCGACCUCGAUGUUGGAUUAAAAUUUAUUUUUGGUGUAGAAGCUAGAAUAUUAGGUCUGUUCGACCUUUAAAAUUUUACAUGAUCUGAGUUUAAACCGGUGUAAGCCAGGUUGGUUUCUAUCUUUAAACUUAUAAAAUAUUUUAGUACGAAAGGACCAAAUAUUUAUAAAAUUUAUUUAGUUAGGAAUUUUAUUAAUAUUC